Molecule: ribosomal RNA, 232 nt
Filed under: uncultured bacterium
Lineage: Bacteria
Description: partial 16S ribosomal RNA
Rfam family: Bacterial small subunit ribosomal RNA
Source: RNAcentral
CGGACGGGUGAGUAAUGUAUGGGGAUCUGCCUGAUGGCGGGGGAUAACUACUGGAAACGGUAACUAAUACCGCAUAAUGUCUGCGGACCAAAGCGGGGGACCUUCGGGCCUCUUGCCAUCGGAUGUGCCCAGAUGGGAUUAGCUAGUAGGUGGGGUAACGGCUCACCUAGGCGACGAUCCCUAGCUGGUCUGAGAGGAUGACCAGCCACACUGGAACUGAGACACGGUCCAG